UACGUAGGGACCGAGCGUUGUCCGGAAUCAUUGGGCGUAAAGCGCGUGUAGGCGGCUUGGUAGGUUUCGUGUUAAAUCCCUCGGCUCAACUGAGGAACUGCCUUUGAAACUGGACGGCUUGAGGCCGGGAGAGGGUAGCGGAAUUCCCAGUGUAGCGGUGAAAUGCGUAGAUACUGGGAGGAACACCGGUGGCGAAGGCGGCUACCUGGACCGGUUCUGACGCUGAGGCGCGAAAGCGUGGGUAGCAAACAGG
RNAcentral lists this ribosomal RNA (253 nucleotides) under uncultured bacterium. RNAcentral's name for it is "partial 16S ribosomal RNA". It matches the Rfam family "Bacterial small subunit ribosomal RNA", at positions 524 to 776 of the family's 1533-position model. The record is from RNAcentral.